RNAcentral lists this ribosomal RNA (253 nucleotides) under uncultured bacterium. RNAcentral describes it as "partial 16S ribosomal RNA". It matches the Rfam family "Bacterial small subunit ribosomal RNA", at positions 524 to 776 of the family's 1533-position model. The record is from RNAcentral.
UACGAAGGGGGCUAGCGUCGUUCGGAAUUACUGGGCGUAAAGCGCGCGUAGGCGGCGAUCUUUGUCAGGGGUGAAAUCCCGGGGCUUAACUCCGGAAUUGCCUUUGAAACGGGAUCGCUUGAGUCCGAGAGAGGAUGGCGGAAUUCCUAGUGUAGAGGUGAAAUUCGUAGAUAUUAGGAAGAACACCGGUGGCGAAGGCGGCCAUCUGGCUCGGUACUGACGCUCAGGCGCGAAAGCGUGGGGAGCAAACAGG